GCUGUUUCCUGUUAAGAGGUUCCAGUAAUAAAUGAAAAUAUCAGUAAAGAAUAUGACAUUAGUAAUCUGUCCAGAAGCAAUUAGUAGUAUGGGUGAAUCGGAAGAAGAAGCAGCUAAUUUUCCGCCACUACCAAGACCACAGGAUCCAGAAUACCUACGCAACAAUUUUUGGAACCAAAGGGACAACUAUGCAAGAAAGAGAGGGUGAAUAGACAACUAUAGGGAUGGACAAUACCAGAGCAAAGACAAUAAUAAUGAGCCGUGAAAUGGAAUAAAGAAUUCAAUCAAGAAGCAGAACUUUUGUGAUGGAACAAUUCUAUAAUUACCAUUAUUAAUUCUGUGUCUGACCUCAGCUGAGGUUCAUCAUCACAAGUGCUCUACAUUUGUCAGAGCAUUAUGUUAUUCUGAUGUCAUUGCUACAUAUACUGUAAUUAAUAAAC
Protopterus annectens (West African lungfish) is the source of this 440-nucleotide long non-coding RNA. RefSeq lists it as uncharacterized. The transcript has 3 exons. The record is from RefSeq and is a predicted model, not a curated record. Lineage: Eukaryota; Metazoa; Chordata; Ceratodontiformes; Protopteridae.